UAGUCUCAAGCUCCAGUGAUUCCACUAUUUGGGCUUCGAUGCAAAUGAACUGAUGUCUGUUUCAUAUUUAAACAGCUACACUGUGGAGUGCAGGACUCAUCAUCAGAUCAGCCUUCAGAUAAACCAUGUUCACUUCAUUUCUCUUGCUGUUGCUGGCUGCUGUGUCUUGUAUUGACUGUCAGGUUGUGCUCACACAGUCUGAACAGUCAGUAGUUGUGUCUCCAGGUGCUUCCUACAAACUGACCUGUGCCUGCAGUGGGUUUACUCUUAGUAGCACUCGCAUGCACUGGAUCCGUCAGGCACCUGGAAAAGGACUGGAAUGGAUUAUUUAUUAUUAUUCAGAUGCUUCUAAGAGCUCAGCUCAGUCAGUUCAAGGCAGAUUCACAGCAUCUAAGGACAGCUCUAAUCUCUAUCUGCACAUGAGUCAGUUAAAGACUGAAGACACUGCAGUGUAUUACUGUGCAACAGAUUCACUUUGCUUGUUUUCAUACAGCUACCCUUACAAAAACCCAGAAGGGGGAGAAAUGGAGAUGAUGAGUGUUUAAAAAAAUAUGUUGAUUUGUUUGUGAAGUGGUUCAUUCAUUUACACAUUUAUUUUUAAAUCACUCUUUCUUAUCUUUAAAUGUGUAUAAAUUUAUAAAGCCAGGUUAAAAGGGGCAACAUAUCAGCAGUUGUGUUACUGAUUGAGUUCUAAUGAGUACAAAUAAUGUCUAUAAGACACAU
This is a non-coding RNA of Carassius auratus (goldfish), 723 nucleotides long. The record is from the annotation of a RefSeq genome assembly. NCBI's taxonomy places the organism in Eukaryota, Metazoa, Chordata, Actinopteri, Cypriniformes, Cyprinidae.